GUGCUCGCUUUGGCAGCACAUAUACUAAAAUUGGAACGGUACAGAGAAGAUUAGCAUAGAUGCGCAAAGAUGACACGAAAAUUCGAGAAAAGUUCCGUAUUUUA
Small nuclear RNA from Eptesicus fuscus (big brown bat), 104 nucleotides. Lineage: Eukaryota; Metazoa; Chordata; Mammalia; Chiroptera; Vespertilionidae. The record is from RefSeq and is a predicted model, not a curated record.